CCUACGGGUGGCAGCAGUGGGGAAUAUUGCACAAUGGGGGAAACCCUGAUGCAGCGACGCCGCGUGAGUGAGGAAGUAUUUCGGUAUGUAAAGCUCUAUCAGCAGGGAAGAAAAUGACGGUACUUGUCUCAGAAGCCCCGGCUAACUACGUGCCAGCAGCCGCGGUAAUACGUAGGGGGCAAGCGUUAUCCGGAUUUACUGGGUGUAAAGGGAGCGUAGACGGCUAAUCAAGUCAGAAGUGAAAUCCCAGGGCUCAACCUUGGGACUGCUUUUGAUACUGAGUGGCUAGAGUGCAGGAGAGGUAAGCAGAAUUCCAGGUGUAGCGGUGAAAUGCGUAGAGAUUAGGAGGAACACCAGUGGCGAAGGCGGCUUACUGGACUGUGACUGACGUUGAGGCGCGAAAGCGUGGGGAGCAAACAGGAUUAGAUACCCUGGUAGUC
RNAcentral lists this ribosomal RNA (440 nucleotides) under uncultured bacterium. RNAcentral's name for it is "partial 16S ribosomal RNA". It matches the Rfam family "Bacterial small subunit ribosomal RNA", at positions 338 to 795 of the family's 1533-position model. The record is from RNAcentral.